RNAcentral lists this unclassified non-coding RNA (642 nucleotides) under Lactuca lasiorhiza. Its description in RNAcentral is "sequence contains ITS1, 5.8S rRNA gene and ITS2". The stretch from base 261 to 416 matches the Rfam family "5.8S ribosomal RNA". Lineage: Eukaryota; Viridiplantae; Streptophyta; Magnoliopsida; Asterales; Asteraceae. The record is from RNAcentral.
UCGAACCCUGCUAGGCAGAACGACCUGUGAACAUGUAACCACAACGGGGUGACAGAAAAUUGGGCUUUGGCUUUGAUCUCCUAACCCCUCCUGACGUGCAUUAGUGGUGCCUUGUUUUAGUUCACCAUGGAUGUCUCGUCAGAUCAUAACAAACCCCGGCACGGAAUGUGCCAAGGAAAAAUCAAAAAUGAGAAGGACAUGUCUUGUAUCGCCCCGUUUGCGGUGUGCGUGCGGAUUGUGGCCUCCUUGGAAUCACAAACGACUCUCGGCAACGGAUAUCUCGGCUCACGCAUCGAUGAAGAACGYAGCAAAAUGCGAUACUUGGUGUGAAUUGCAGAAUCCCGUGAACCAUCGAGUUUUUGAACGCAAGUUGCGCCUGAUGCCAUCCGGCUGAGGGCACGCCUGCCUGGGCGUCACGCAUCMUGUCGCUCCCCACCAAAGUUCCCAACAGGUGCUUAUGGUGAUGGGGGCGGAUAAUGGCCUCCCGUGCUUGUGUUUCGGUUGGCCUAAAUAUGAGUUCCCUUAGGCGGACGCACGCGUAGUGGUGGUUGAAUAGACCCUCGGCUUGUGUUGUGUGUCGUGCGUUGUGAGGGAAGCCCUCAUUAAGGACCCCAUUGUAUCGUUUCUUAACGAUGCUUCGAC